AAAGGACCAAGCAAUCGAUCACAUUUUCUUAUAAUCGAACACAGACGAUUUUGGAACUACUGUUUUAGUGUUUGAAACACUUGACGAAGGAGAUAUCUUAGCAGCUGCCAGGGCCUGAAAACGUAUUUAAUUCUUAGUAAACUCACUUCACUUACUGAAAAGUCAUGACUGAAUAUAUCUUGAAGAUUCCAUGAUGUUUAUGUUCAUG
Molecule: long non-coding RNA, 208 nt
Organism: Haliotis rubra (blacklip abalone)
Lineage: Eukaryota; Metazoa; Mollusca; Gastropoda; Lepetellida; Haliotidae
Exons: 3
Source: RefSeq, a predicted model, not a curated record